Molecule: unclassified non-coding RNA, 1377 nt
Filed under: uncultured Neocallimastigales
Lineage: Eukaryota; Fungi; Neocallimastigomycota; Neocallimastigomycetes; Neocallimastigales
Description: partial contains small subunit ribosomal RNA, internal transcribed spacer 1, 5.8S ribosomal RNA, internal transcribed spacer 2, and large subunit ribosomal RNA
Rfam family: Eukaryotic large subunit ribosomal RNA (bases 619-1377)
Source: RNAcentral
UUCCGUAGGUGAACCUGCGGAAGGAUCAUUAAUAAAUGGCUCCUGAUUUGGAGCGCUUAAUAAUCCUACCCUUUGUGAAUUUGUUGUUUGAAAUAAUUUUUUUUAAAAUUAUUGAUUGUCUUUCCCUGUUGAAUUGGAGCGUUUUCGGACGUAAAGAUUCGCAGGGAUAGUCAGUAAUUUUUAAAAAAGACUUUUUUUUAAAUUAAACUUUUGUGUGUAUUCAUUUGUCUAAAAUUAUUUUUAUAAUAUAAAAACAACUUUUGACAAUGGAUCUCUUGGUUCUCGCAACGAUGAAGAACGCAGCAAAAUGCGAUAAGUAGUGUGAAUUGCAGAAUACGUGAAUCAUCGAAUCUUCGAACGCAUAUUGCACUUUUUUAGUUUACUAAAAAAGUAUGUCUGUUUGAGUAUCAGUAAAAUAUUCUAUAAAAACUUUUUUUUUAUGGUUAUGAGUGUUUUACAACGAUACAAGUUGUUUCACUUUAAAUUUUUUUAAAAUUUGAAUUUUUUUCUAAUUUUAAAAUAAAAUUGGAUAAAUUUUCCCGUAAAAAGGAAUAACCUAAACAAUUUUAAUUUUUUAUUAGAAAGAAUCAUUUAAAGGAAAAAUUUAACAAAAUAACUUGAUCUCAAAUCAGAUAAGAGUACCCGCUGAACUUAAGCAUAUCUAUAAGCGGAGGAAAAGAAAACUAACAAGGACUCCCUUAGUAACGGCGAGUGAAGCGGGAAGAGCUCAAAUCUGAAAUCUUCAAGGUUUUACCUUGACGAAUUGUAGUUUAAAGAAGUGUUUUCUGUUGAAGUUUUGGUAAAAGUUCUUUGGAAUAGGACAUCAUAGAGGGUGAGAAUCCCGUAUUUGACCAUUAUUUUCAGCUGUGUGAUACACUUUCAAAGAGUCGGAUUGUUUGGGAAUGCAGUCCAAAAUGGGUGGUAAAUUUCAUCUAAAGCUAAAUAUUGGCGAGAGACCGAUAGCGAACAAGUACCGUGAGGGAAAGAUGAAAGGAACUUUGAAAAGAGAGUUAAACAGUACGUGAAAUUGUCGAAAGGGAAGCGUUUGACACCAGUGUUGUUUUCUCGAAAAUCAAUUAAAAAUGGCUGGAUUUUGCGUUGUAUUGACCUUAACAGCUUUCUUCACUCUUUUCCUGUCUUUUUUAAUGCACUUUUCGUUUAACAAGUCAACAUCAGUUUCUUUUGUUGUAAAAGGGUCAUUGGAAGGUGGCUUUCCUUUCGGAGAAAGUGUUUAUAGCCUUUGAUCUCUGCAAUCGGAGAGACUGAGGUCUGCAGCGUAGACUCUUCGGGGUUAGAUACAUUUGUGCUAAGUUAUAGCUUUUUAUAGACAACUUGUUGACUAUAUUUAGUCUUGUAGCUUACUCGCUUAUGCUAUUU